This 253-nucleotide ribosomal RNA is filed under the name uncultured bacterium. Its description in RNAcentral is "partial 16S ribosomal RNA". It matches the Rfam family "Bacterial small subunit ribosomal RNA", at positions 524 to 776 of the family's 1533-position model. The record is from RNAcentral.
UACAGAGGGUGCGAGCGUUAAUCGGAAUUACUGGGCGUAAAGCGUGCGUAGACGGUUAUGUAAGUCGGGUGUGAAAGCCCCGGGCUCAACCUGGGAAUUGCAUUCGAGACUGCAUAGCUAGGGUGCGGAAGAGGGAAGCGGAAUUUCCGGUGUAGCGGUGAAAUGCGUAGAUAUCGGAAGGAACACCAGUGGCGAAAGCGGCUUCCUGGUCCAGCACCGACGUUCAGGCACGAAAGCGUGGGGAGCAAAUAGG